This 1423-nucleotide long non-coding RNA is filed under the name Papio anubis (olive baboon). Its description in RNAcentral is "lncRNA (ENSPANG00000041469.1)". Lineage: Eukaryota; Metazoa; Chordata; Mammalia; Primates; Cercopithecidae. The record is from RNAcentral.
CAUCUUGAAAUAAUUAUUGAUUUACACACAACUUUGAGAAAUAAUACAUGGAGGAUUCCUGUACUCGUUACACAGUUUAUCCCAGUGCUAACAUCUAACAUAGCAAUAGUAAAAUAUUACUAUUAGAAAACUGACAUUGGUAUAGUACACCAACUUUAUUAGUAUUUUCUCAAAUUGACUUGUAUGAAUAUGCAUAUUUAGUUCUACACAAAUUUGUUACAUGUAUAAUCUAUGUAACUGCCUGAGUUAAGAUAGAGCACUGUACAAUCUUCACAAGGAUUAUUUUUGAUAGCCACAUCAAUCUUUGCCUCUAUCCCUUGGUCCUUAGUUCCUGGCAACCACUAAUUUUCUCAGCAUCUCUAUAAUUUUGUCAGUUCAAGAAUGUUAUAUAAAUGGAAUUACACAGUAUGUAACUUUUUAAAAUGGACUUUUGUCACUUGGUGCAAAGCCUUUGAGAUUUAUCAGGUCAUUUUAUAUAUUAAUAGUCCUUUCCUUUCUAUUACUAGUAUUCUGUAGUAUGGAUGUAGCAGAGUUGGUUAAUCAUUCACCCACUGAAGGACAUUUGAAUUGUUUCCAGUAUGGUGCUUUUAUAAUAAAACUACAAUGAACGUUUGUAUGUGAGUUUUCCAGUUAACGUAAGUUUUCAUUUUCCUGGAAAAAAAUACUUAUUAUGGACUGAAUAUUUGUGUCCUCUCAAAGUUCAUAUUAGGAGGGGGCACCUGUGAGACAUAAUCAUGUUUAGAUCAUACCAUGAGAAUGGAUACCUCAUGAUAGAAUCAGUUCUCUUAUAAGAACAGACAACAAAACACUUGCUUUCUCUCUCUGUUCCAUGUGAAGGUACAUGUGCCAUGUGAAGAAGCUGGUCACCCGUAAACCAGGAAGAGAGCCCCACCAGGGAUCUGAAGUGGCUGGCAUCUUGAUUGUAGACUUCACAAUCCUCAGAACAAUUUUACAGAAUGACACAUUGGGGAAGUCCAGUAAUUCAAGUGUUUGGCUAACAAUCAUCAAGGCCACAGAAACCCAGCCUCUGCUCUUGGCAGUAUCAGGAACUUCAUGGAAUACAUCACUUUCAAAUUGCAGCUGCAAAUGGUCUUGUUAAAGGUAAUUCAGCAACAUCAGUCAAGAUGUUGCUUGACACACAAUGGAGGAGAUUGGAAAUAAUGCAUUCCUUCAGUAAACCAUUCCGCCUGUUUUUUCUAAUGAUGCAGUCCUUUCUCAGGCAAUUUUCCAGAGUUACGUAGACAACUAAAUUCACACGGACCAAAAGAGGAAAAAAAAAUCUAAUUGGAAUAAAAUCAGUUGAACUUAUUAUACUGAGACUGAAAGAUAGAAGAAAGAAUAGGGAGAAAAGUUUUAGAAAUAUGUAUGUCAAAGAAUGGUCUAGUUACCAGCAUAAUUAGAAUCCAAAAGAAAAAAGAAAAAA